This 2309-nucleotide long non-coding RNA is filed under the name Gossypium barbadense (sea-island cotton). RNAcentral describes it as "long non-coding RNA (GBAR_LNC001667)". The record is from RNAcentral. Lineage: Eukaryota; Viridiplantae; Streptophyta; Magnoliopsida; Malvales; Malvaceae.
AUAAGAUAAUCCAAAACAUAGCAGUACCAAACAGUGGAUAGUGAUAGUGUGACUAGUUGCUGACGAUCCCCGAGCCUGUAGCUUCGCAAUGAGAUCUAUAAAACAGAGGAAACAGAGUAAACGGAGUAAGCAUUACAAUGCUUAGUAAGUUUUAAGCAGUGUCAACAGAUAACAAUCAAAUUAUAACAUAGUUGUUCGUAUUUUUAUUUCACUCUUCCUUUGGGCAUACCAUCCCUUUAACGAAUAUGCACAUCUCAUCAUAUACAAUAUGCAGAUAAACUUUCACAUAAAAGUGAGCACAUGUGACAUAGAUAUAUCGUAUGAUUUCACAUCGCCUCUCACACUGAUCCGAUGUCACAUAAUCAUAGCAAUAGUCUCAUAGAUUGCUCUCGUAUGCAUCACAUAACUACCUUAUGAUUUAGUGCAAAUCAAGCUCACAUAUAAACUUGGAGUACAUACCUGUUUAACCUUUCGCAUUGAAUAUAUUUAUAAGCAAUUCUUAUUACGAAGUCUUACCCGGACAUAAUCUCCACACGAAGUUAUCGGGUCUUACCCGGACAAAAUUCCCACACGUAGUCAUCGAGUCUUUAGAGCUCGGAUAUAGUACGAGCACAAAGCUUACGGACAUUAAUCAGUGAUAAUAUUCUCGCAUAAAGCCUGCGGGGUUUUAACCUGGAUAUAGUACUGACACAAAUGCCCUUUGGGACUUAUCACAUUUAUGCACUUUCACAUCCAUCACGUUGGCCACUCGGCCCUGUCAUAUAUAUACACUUUCACAUUCAUCACAUCGGCCAUUAGGCCUUAUCACAUAUAUACACUUUCACAUUCAUCACAUCGGCCAUUAGGCCUUAUUACAUAUAUACACUUUCACAUUCAUCACAUCGGCUAUUAGGCCUUAUCACAUAUAUACACUUUCACAUUCAUCACAUCGGCUAUUAGGCCUUAUCACAUAUAUACACUCUCACAUUCAUCACAUCGGCUAUUAGGCCUUAUCACACAUAUACACUUUCACAUUCAUCACAUGGCUAUUAGGCCUUAUCACACAUAUACAAUUUCACAUUCAUCACAUCGGCCAUUAGGCCUUAUCACAUAUAUACACUUUCACAUUCAUCACAUCGGCUAUUAGGCCUUAUCACAUAUAUACACUUUCACAUUCAUCACAUCGGCCAUUAGGCCUUAUCACAUAUAUACACUUUCACAUUCAUCACAUCGGCCAUUAGGCCUUAUCACAUAUAUACACUGUCUUGGCUGAAUCUACAUCUAUCAUUUUCCAAUAUCACAAUUUAGAAUUCACGUAUGGGUUUAAUCAAUAGCUUAUGAGCAACUAGAACAAGUUUAUCAAGGUUUACAACACAAUCUCAAAUUCAGCACAAGCUGUUUUUCCUGAGCAAUAGUCACUAAAUCAUUUAUAACUGGAGCUACAAAACUCCAAAUCACUUUCCGUUAAUUUUUCCUGAAUAUAGACUCGUAUAGAUUCCAUUCAUAAAAUUUCCAGAAUUUUAGGUUUGGCCAAUCAAUACCAGAUUUUUCUUAAAGUUUCCCCUGUUUCACUGUUUGACUAAUCUGACCACUCUUCACUACGAAUCAGAUUUCUCAUUUUACAGAAUUCAAAAUGUGUUUUAUUUGAUUUCAUUUGAAACUAGACUCAUUAAGGAGUCUAAGCAUAUAAAUUUUAUCUUAUAACCAUUUUUGUACAAUUUAUAAUGAUUUUCUAAAAACGAAACAGAGGAUUACAGUGUCAUUCUGCACUGUCUCACACAACUUUAAAUAUCUCAUUAUCGGAAAUAAAUUUUCUUACACGGUUUCUUUUAUAAGAAACUAGACUCAUUAAUCUUUAAUUUCAUAAUUUAUUCAGCCUCCCAUUCAACUCCAACAAUUUAUGGUGAUUUUCUAAAUUCAUGUUACUGCUGCUGUCCUGAGCAGGUUUAUCACAAUUUUACUCUUUUGACAUAUCCUUUUAGCACUUCAUAAUAUCAUAUCCAUUUGGCAACAUAUCAUAUCAAUAACUUACCUAUACUUCAUAAUAGCCAUUAGGCUUAAUGCAUAAAAAUUUACAAUAGAGUUAUGAUUCUUUUAAUAUGUGCUUAACAUAUCAUACUCAAUCACAUUAUAGGCUUUAAUACUUAAAACACCUCGAUCGCUAAUGUACGUCAAUUCCGACUAUUCGACCAAUUUCUCUUUUUCCACGAUCCGACUUUGUUUCCAUAAGCUCUUGAUGCUCAAUCAACAAUUUUUAACUUCAAAUUUGCAAACAACAAUGUCAUCACUUUACAUAACAGAAAUUAAAUUUCAUUACUUAAACUAUCCAC